ACAUUAUUAUUCAUAUUAAUACAGAUUUGAAUACUGCAGGACCCAGUGAUCUGGUUUAUGCACAGAUUGAUUUACAGGACAGAAAGAAGACCAAGGGCAAAGGGAAGAGCAGUGAGUCUGGAGACACUUUGUACUCUGAACUGAAGCACAACACAGACAGAGAAGCUGAUGCUGGUGAUGAAACUUGUGCUCAACCUUUGAGGAAGAAGAAUAAAACACGUCUCCGAGUCCAGUGAAGACAACAGACGGCUAAAAGAGAUUCACAGCAGCAGACACAGUGACGCUUGCAUUGCUUCAGAAAUGAAUCUGAGUGAACUGCUUACACACGUGCUUGAUUCAGUUACUUUAGAGAUACAUAUGCACUGUUAUCUCUAAACAUAUUACAUAAGCAAAACAAAUGUCUCUCUAGUAUAUUCAAUAGUUAGAUCGCCAGAUAAUUAAGAUCCAGCCCCACAUGGCAGAUCUCAUCAGAAAAUAUUAGUUUUGUCUGGUAAUAGAACAACUCUUCAGCAAAGUAGUCUAUAACCCAAAACCUGUUCACAGAAGUCUGGUCUGGUGCCCAAAAUACCCAAAACUGUAUUACCAGUCUUCUAUCAGAGAAGAAGCUGACUGAGGAAAAACCCAGAGAAGAGCAGAAGCAGCAGACGAAGUGAUGAUAAAAGGAUAAGAGUUUAAUGAAGAAUCUUAGUUGUGUAUGAUUUAAUGCUCAGACUUCAUCUGACCAGAACAAAUUCAAGAAGUUCUGUUACACCAAACUGAUCCACAACAACAUCCCAUAAACCUUGAGUUUCCUUUCCCUCGGAUCUCUGAUUCAUGAAGACAAACAGCCCUUAAAACCCACAGUCAUAAGAAUAAACACCAGAAGAACAAUAUUAUAAAAACUACAAU
Carassius carassius (crucian carp) is the source of this 888-nucleotide long non-coding RNA. RefSeq lists it as uncharacterized. The transcript has 4 exons. NCBI's taxonomy places the organism in Eukaryota, Metazoa, Chordata, Actinopteri, Cypriniformes, Cyprinidae. The record is from RefSeq and is a predicted model, not a curated record.